RNAcentral lists this ribosomal RNA (497 nucleotides) under uncultured bacterium. RNAcentral describes it as "partial 16S ribosomal RNA". It matches the Rfam family "Bacterial small subunit ribosomal RNA", at positions 28 to 507 of the family's 1533-position model. The record is from RNAcentral.
GAUGAACGCUGGCGGCGUGCCUAAUACAUGCAAGUCGAGCGAAAAGACGAGGAGCUUGCUCCUCUGACGUUAGCGGCGGACGGGUGAGUAACACAUGGAUAACCUACCUAUAAGACUGGGAUAACUUCGGGAAACCGGAGCUAAUACCGGAUAAUAUAUUGAACCGCAUGGUUCAAUAGUGAAAGACGGUUUUGCUGUCACUUAUAGAUGGAUCCGCGCCGCAUUAGCUAGUUGGUAAGGUAACGGCUUACCAAGGCGACGAUGCGUAGCCGACCUGAGAGGGUGAUCGGCCACACUGGAACUGAGACACGGUCCAGACUCCUACGGGAGGCAGCAGUAGGGAAUCUUCCGCAAUGGGCGAAAGCCUGACGGAGCAACGCCGCGUGAGUGAUGAAGGUCUUCGGAUCGUAAAACUCUGUUAUUAGGGAAGAACAAAUGUGUAAGUAACUAUGCACGUCUUGACGGUACCUAAUCAGAAAGCCACGGCUAACUACGUG